UACAUUUGACGCCAGACACUUCGAUCCAAAUCCAAAAAACAUAAACAAACAAAAAGAAGCCCUAACAUUUGGUUUGUGUUUGUUUGUUUUCAGUCUCCGGAGUUUCCGUCAGAGCUGCUGACAGAUGACAGCCGGACUCUGCAUCGUUAACGCGGUGUUUGGUCAAGACGCAGAAAACACACACAGGACCUGAGGAGCAGGACUUCCCCCCCCACACCCCCUCUACUCCUCCUCUUCCUCCAGGCCUGGAUUUUUUUUUUUUUUUUUUUCUGAAAUCAACAGACUUUUGCUUAUUAUGGGACAAUCUGAUGUGAUGUGUUUUUCUGUUUGGACACCUCAUUAUUAUUAUUAUUAUUAUAAUUAUUAUUAUUUAAUUUAAGACUUCUUAUUUGUGGGUCCUUUCUGGAAAUGGAAGGCGAGUUAUAUGGGAUUAUUUCCCCUCCCUCUACCCUAACCUCCCCCCUCCCCUCCCGUCUCUCCCCCCCGUUUGAACUCUUCGCUUUUUUUGCGGAGGUGGAAACGUGUACAGAACAGACUUGGGUUAGUUACUGUAAAAACAAAACAAAAAAAGUUUAGUCUUGUCUUGUCAGAAAUGUUGGCACAUGAAGGACUGGACGAUGUCUAAAGCAUAAAAAAAGUGGAAGAAUGAGACCUUGUGAACUCUCUCUCUCUCUGUCUAAUCUUGUACAGUUGCAGAAAUUUGAAACUUCUGCAAAAAAAAAAAAGUGUAAUGUUGUACUUAAUUAUGCUGAAACUUUUUAUAAAAGUAUUGUAAAUUGCA
Cyprinodon variegatus (sheepshead minnow) is the source of this 781-nucleotide long non-coding RNA. RefSeq lists it as uncharacterized. The transcript is spliced from 2 exons. Lineage: Eukaryota; Metazoa; Chordata; Actinopteri; Cyprinodontiformes; Cyprinodontidae. The record is from RefSeq and is a predicted model, not a curated record.